UUGGAGGGCAAGUCUGGUGCCAGCAGCCGCGGUAAUUCCAGCUCCAAUAGCGUAUAUUAAAGUUGUUGCAGUUAAAAAGCUCGUAGUUGAACCUUGGCUCUGGCUGGCCGGUCCGCCUCACCGCGAGUACUGGUCCGGCUGGAGCUUUCCUUCUGGGGAACCUCAUGGCCUUCACUGGCUGUGGGGGGAACCAGGACUUUUACUGUGAAAAAAUUAGAGUGUUCAAAGCAGGCCUUUGCUCGAAUACAUUAGCAUGGAAUAAUAGAAUAGGACGUGUGGUUCUAUUUUGUUGGUUUCUAGGACCGCCGUAAUGAUUAAUAGGGAUAGUCGGGGGCGUCAGUAUUCAGCUGUCAGAGGUGAAAUUCUUGGAUUUGCUGAAGACUAACUACUACGAAAGCAUUCGCCAAGGAUGUUUUCAUUAAUCAGGGAACGAAAGUUAGGGGAUCGAAGACGAUCAGAUACCGUCGUAGUCUUAACCAUAAACUAUGCCGACUAGGGAUCGGACGGGAUUCUAUGAUGACCCGUUCGGCGCCUUACGGGAAAC
This 544-nucleotide ribosomal RNA is filed under the name uncultured Eurotiomycetes. RNAcentral's name for it is "SSU rRNA". It matches the Rfam family "Eukaryotic small subunit ribosomal RNA", at positions 548 to 1098 of the family's 1831-position model. The record is from RNAcentral. Lineage: Eukaryota; Fungi; Ascomycota; Eurotiomycetes.